UGUCAGAUCACAGACCUCAGCCUGGUGAGCUGUCACUGUGGCUUCCAGACGUGGGCAGUUUAACUUCCGAGCCUCUGGGCUUCUCUAGGCUCAGUGACGUGUGGCUGAUCGACUGAGUGUGGUACCCGUAUUAGUAGACAACACUGCCCAUCUGCUCUCUCUGGCAGAGUGGUAUUCUAAUCUCAGUCUCCACUUCCUGACACCUUCUUCACCGGGCUGCCUUCUUUAUAAAGAGCCACACCCUGGCCGUGAGAUCAACUUAAAAGUUUCUCCACACUCAGUGAACCAGUUUUAAGUAAUUGAAUUAAAGUUUGAGCUAGA
Mastomys coucha (southern multimammate mouse) is the source of this 321-nucleotide long non-coding RNA. RefSeq lists it as uncharacterized. Lineage: Eukaryota; Metazoa; Chordata; Mammalia; Rodentia; Muridae. The record is from RefSeq and is a predicted model, not a curated record. The transcript is spliced from 2 exons.